Molecule: transfer RNA, 73 nt
Filed under: Camelus bactrianus (Bactrian camel)
Lineage: Eukaryota; Metazoa; Chordata; Mammalia; Artiodactyla; Camelidae
Also listed under: 1 other name
Rfam family: tRNA
About the family: Transfer RNA (tRNA) molecules are approximately 80 nucleotides in length. Their secondary structure includes four short double-helical elements and three loops (D, anti-codon, and T loops).
Source: Rfam by way of RNAcentral
GGGAGUAUAGCUCAAAUGGUAGAGUGUGUGCUUAGCAUACAUGAGGUCCUGGGUUCAAUCCCCAGUACCUCCA